CAUUUUGGGAUUAGCUUUCUUUAUCUCUCAAACCCUAAUUUUUCUCCCUUUUGAAUCUCAUCUCUGUCCGCUCGCGCCGGUCAAUCGGUUUAUAAAAAUUUCCUCUGUCCGGUCGCUGUCGCUGCUUCGUAUAAAAAGUUAGCUUUGCUGUGGUGAGGCACGGUCUCGAACCCUAAUUUUUCAACCUUUAUGUUCUCAUCUCUCUCUGCUCGCUCCGAACGGUUCGUUUGUAAAAAUUCAUCUCUGUGCCGUCGUUGUCACUGCUUGGUAUAAAAAGUUGGCUUUGCUGUCUUCAAUUCCUUUUUCUUGGAAAGUGGAAGCCCCAAAUUUGAGCUUAGAGCUUUAAUUUCUUAAUCAUUCGUUUCUCUGCACUCUCAUCAGUCAGUCUUGAUACUCUCUCAGAGGAGCCUACAUAUUUAAACGUGUUGCUGGUAUAAAAUUUUCUCAUCUAUUUGCAAACAAGUUUGGCAAAUCACAGUACAAAGGUGAGCCAAUUAUUCUCAUGGUGCUUGAAAAAUUUCAACUCUGCAAGUUGGAAAAAAAAGGAGGGUUUCAAAAUACUGUGCUUUCACGCUUUGGCGUCUUUGUCUUUGUGUUUGAAAGAUUUCUGUACUAAAGGUGAGUGAGCUAAAAUUUUGGAAUUGUUAAGAUCAAAUUUUAAGUAUUUGUUUCGAUUUUGUUUUAUAAAGUAUGAAUAAACUUGGUAUUUCCUUUAACUUUAAAUUGAAAUCCUAAUUUUGAUGGUUUGUUCAUAAUUAAUGUUUGUUAUGUUUUUUUGCUGUGUGAUUUAUGUGUUAAUAUU
This 802-nucleotide small RNA is filed under the name Malus domestica (apple). RNAcentral describes it as "sRNA MD11G0036100". The record is from RNAcentral. Lineage: Eukaryota; Viridiplantae; Streptophyta; Magnoliopsida; Rosales; Rosaceae.